RNAcentral lists this ribosomal RNA (469 nucleotides) under uncultured bacterium. RNAcentral's name for it is "partial 16S ribosomal RNA". It matches the Rfam family "Bacterial small subunit ribosomal RNA", at positions 28 to 507 of the family's 1533-position model. The record is from RNAcentral.
GAUGAACGCUGGCGGCGUGCUUAACACAUGCAAGUCGAACGGUGAACACGGAGCUUGCUCUGUGGGAUCAGUGGCGAACGGGUGAGUAACACGUGAGCAACCUGCCCCUGACUCUGGGAUAAGCGCUGGAAACGGCGUCUAAUACUGGAUAUGUGACGUGACCGCAUGGUCUGCGUUUGGAAAGAUUUUUCGGUUGGGGAUGGGCUCGCGGCCUAUCAGCUUGUUGGUGAGGUAAUGGCUCACCAAGGCGUCGACGGGUAGCCGGCCUGAGAGGGUGACCGGCCACACUGGGACUGAGACACGGCCCAGACUCCUACGGGAGGCAGCAGUGGGGAAUAUUGCACAAUGGGCGCAAGCCUGAUGCAGCAACGCCGCGUGAGGGAUGACGGCCUUCGGGUUGUAAACCUCUUUUAGCAGGGAAGAAGCGAAAGUGACGGUACCUGCAUAAAAAGCGCCGGCUAACUACGUG